This 467-nucleotide ribosomal RNA is filed under the name uncultured bacterium. Its description in RNAcentral is "partial 16S ribosomal RNA". It matches the Rfam family "Bacterial small subunit ribosomal RNA", at positions 28 to 506 of the family's 1533-position model. The record is from RNAcentral.
GACGAACGCUGGCGGCGUGCUUAACACAUGCAAGUCGAACGGAAAGGCCCUGCUUUUGUGGGGUGCUCGAGUGGCGAACGGGUGAGUAACACGUGAGUAACCUUCCCUUGACUUUGGGAUAACUUCAGGAAACUGGGGCUAAUACCGGAUAGGAGCUCCUGCUGCAUGGUGGGGGUUGGAAAGUUUCGGCGGUUGGGGAUGGACUCGCGGCUUAUCAGCUUGUUGGUGGGGUAGUGGCUUACCAAGGCUUUGACGGGUAGCCGGCCUGAGAGGGUGACCGGCCACAUUGGGACUGAGAUACGGCCCAGACUCCUACGGGAGGCAGCAGUGGGGAAUAUUGCACAAUGGGCGGAAGCCUGAUGCAGCAACGCCGCGUGCGGGAGGACGGCCUUCGGGUUGUAAACCGCUUUCGCCUGUGACGAAGCGUGAGUGACGGUAAUGGGUAAAGAAGCACCGGCUAACUACGU